This 253-nucleotide ribosomal RNA is filed under the name uncultured bacterium. RNAcentral's name for it is "partial 16S ribosomal RNA". It matches the Rfam family "Bacterial small subunit ribosomal RNA", at positions 524 to 776 of the family's 1533-position model. The record is from RNAcentral.
UACGGAGGGUGCGAGCGUUGUCCGGAAUCACUGGGCGUAAAGGGCGCGUAGGCGGUGACCAAAGUCAACGGUGAAAGCCCGGGGCUCAACCCCGGGUCGGCCGUCGAUACUGGGUUACUGGAGCACUGUAGAGGCAGGUGGAAUUCCGGGUGUAGCGGUGGAAUGCGUAGAGAUCCGGAAGAACACCGGUGGCGAAGGCGGCCUGCUGGGCAGUAGCUGACGCUGAUGCGCGACAGCGUGGGGAGCAAACGGG